Long non-coding RNA from Astyanax mexicanus (Mexican tetra), 2048 nucleotides. RefSeq lists it as uncharacterized. Lineage: Eukaryota; Metazoa; Chordata; Actinopteri; Characiformes; Acestrorhamphidae. The transcript has 2 exons. The record is from RefSeq and is a predicted model, not a curated record.
UGUACAGGUGAGGGUGGAGUAGAGGAUUGGGAAGGAGCCCAUGGGACGAGAGAGAACAGCGGAGAUGCGGGAGUAGCAGCGCGGGAGAAGCAGCGAGGGAGAGGCGAGGAGGAAAAAGAUCCUCACAGGCUGAACUAAAUUCACUAAUAAUUAGUAUUAAUUAAACUAACCGGUAAUUUUAAGGACACUGAAGUCCAUACUGAGAGUGUGCUGGUGGAUAAAGCUGGGAUAAUCUCUCUAUAAGUGAAGUUCUGUUAGCACUGUUAGCUUAGCCAGCUCGGCUAGCUGUGUUUAGCCUCGUGUAUUAGCUGCUCUGCGCUAGCCGUGAACUCUCCGCUGCAGCGCCGCUCCGACAGACUGUUCCCCGGACUGACUCGCGCUCUCUCCGCCUCCACUGAACACCAGGACCGCUAACACUGCUAACCAGAGAGCGCUCUGAGUCCCCGCGUGGAUCAGAGUUCCUCUGAGGGAAAACGCUCCGUGCUGCAGGACCCCGCGCUCUGCUCCCGCUCAUAUUCACUGAAUCUGAGAUGCCCUGUUCCUGAUGUUCCCAGCCUGGCUCUCCACUGCCCGCUGUGUUGUACUCCAGCUCUGCAACCCUGCACUGAUUACCAUUAACACACUCAGUAUCUGUUUCUGUAUUAGCCAUAGCUCUAUAGUUUGUGCCCAUCACAUUCUUAUAUUCAUAAAUUAGUACCUGUUAUAUUAGCCAUAGUUCACAUUAAUUCUCUGUACUGUUUUUGUUCUGUUAUUUGUUUGUUACUUGUUUGUACUGAGCGGGUCAACCCGAGUAGGAUGGGUUCCUCUAACUGAGUCUUGGUUCCUUCCAAGGUUUCUUCCUCUUAAAGGGAGUGUUUUCUUGCCACUGUGUCACCAUAAAAUUGGCAUCUCUGUGGUGCUGCUCAUAAGAGGCGUGGACCUGUUUUUCCUGUAAAGCGGCUUUGUGACAACCUUUGUUGUAAAAAGCGCAAUAUAAAUAAAAUUUAACUGAAUAUUGAAUACAAUGAUCAAUGUUACACAAUGUUCAGCAGUUAUCAUUUGAUAACCCUCUGAUUUGCUUAUUUAAUAGGACAAAUAUUUCUAAAAUGUUACACUGAUCUACAGAUAGGUAGUUGUAUAGUAUAGUAUAGUAUAGUAGUUCCUGGUGUAUAUUAUUUGAUUAGAUCUGGAUAAUAUAUGUUUAUUUAGCUGUAACUCGUUUCUUGUCCAUUUUCAGUCUCUGCACGAGAAGCGCAAGCCUUCACUUCUAUAGCUCCGCUGUGCACGCGGCUACCGUAAUACACAGCUAAGACGUGCACACAAGUUUUUGGUGCGGACAGCGCGACAGAUUUAACUAUUCCCUUAUAAUUUAUCAUCAUCAUCUCAUAGUCAGCGGGCCGGUUGUGGCCCGCUGGCCUUACAAUGCCCAGGUCUGCUUUAGAAGCAUGUCCCACCACAGCCUGGUCACGAAUGCCUUUAAUUCCCACGGCUCUCCUUCCACGAAAAGAGACUUCAACUCUGUCAAACUGCAUCAACCAACCAAUGAAGCCAUUAAUAUGCCUUUCAAUUCAAAAUAAUGUGCAAGACUUGGUCACCAAUGUGGAAGGACUGCUGCUCACCAUGUUCAUCCACUAGUAAAAUUCCCCCCUUGAUUCAUGCUGACCAGAUAAAAACCUGUUACUCCUAAAAUUAACACCAGCACAACACCACUGAUUUAACCCUAUGUGCAGUCAGGCUCAAUCACAACUCUACUUUUAACUCCCUUUUUUAUUUUAUUAACCCAUUGACUGCUGGGUCAACUGUAACUGCCCUUCAACCAGUUGAACAGUUUAGAUUAGAAGUUUGAGUGUGAGGUGACUUAACUGAUUUGCUUGUGCAAGUUUUGUUCUUGCUAUUAGAAAGGUUUGGUUAGGUGAUGCUUAUCUGCAAAGCUUGAGUUCAUCCAUCCUCUGUACCUCCUUUUUCAGAUCUGAUAUGGAGGCUUAAGGUUUUACACUAACAGGGAAUUCAUAGCUUAUCUAAAAUGAUUUUUAUUAUUUUGGGGAAAAAUUUACUUUGUAUAUUUUAUA